RNAcentral lists this ribosomal RNA (461 nucleotides) under uncultured Spirochaetota bacterium. RNAcentral's name for it is "bacterial SSU rRNA". It matches the Rfam family "Bacterial small subunit ribosomal RNA", at positions 29 to 471 of the family's 1533-position model. Lineage: Bacteria; Pseudomonadati; Spirochaetota. The record is from RNAcentral.
AACGAACGCUGGCGGCGCGUUUUAAACAUGCAAGUCGAACGAGAACCCAUUUGCUUGCAUUUGGGGGAAAGUGGCGAACGGGUGAGUAACACGUGGAUAAUCUGCCUGCAGGUUGGGGACAACAUUCCGAAAGGAGUGCUAAUACCGAAUGAGAUAGUAGGUGCAUAAGCACCAGUUAUCAAAGGUGGGGACCUUCGGGCCUACCGCCUGCAGAUGAGUCCGCGGCCCAUUAGUUAGUUGGCAGGGUAAUGGCCUACCAAGACAGCGAUGGGUAGCCGGCCUGAGAGGGUGAACGGCCACAUUGGGACUGAGAUACGGCCCAGACUCCUACGGGAGGCAGCAGUUAAGAAUCUUGCGCAAUGGGCGAAAGCCUGACGCAGCGACGCCGCGUGGAUGAUGAAGGCCUUCGGGUUGUAAAGUCCAAUAAACAGGGAAGAAUAAGCAGAAGAUAAUAUCUCCUG